UCCGCUCGUGCUCGCCACAUCAAAGCCUGAUUAUCGUCGUCUCCCUCGAUCGAUCUCCACCACCUGAGCUCGCCAUGGCCACGACGGCGUCGGCGCGCGCGCACCAGCAGCACGGCGGGAAGCAGCAGCAGUACCAGCCGCUGCGGCGCAUUGAGGGGCUGAGCCUGAGGUCCGCGCUCCGCAGCGACCCGCGCGUCCCCGCGCUGGCCGCGGCCGCGCUCCUCGUCCCGCUCGGCGCCGCGCUGCUGGCCCUCUCCGGCCUCUUCCUGCUGGCCACGCUCGCCGGCGUCGCGCUCGCGGCGCCUCUCGUCCUGCUCUUCAGUCCGGUGCUCGUGCCCGCCGCGCUGGGCGCCGCGCUGGCCGUCGCGGGGCUCGCCGCCGCCGGCGCGCUCGCCGUCUCGGGGCUCUCGGCGCUCGUCUGGGUCGUGGGAUACGUCCAGAGGGGCCUGGCGCAGGGCGACUCCGCCCGGGUGGGCGGGAUGGUGGUGCAGCCGUUGGACAGCGGGAAGCGGCACGGCAGACAGGGGGCGCCGGCCUUCGUCGGGCACAGAGUCGGGGACGACGCCGGGGACGCUCUGGGCACCACCAAAGCGCGGGACGUCGCCAGCGCCUAACUAGAGCUGCACGGGUGAACAUAUGUACUUCCGCGUCGUGCGUAUGCGUUUGAUUUGUCGAAAUCUGAUGUACGUAUGCGUGUUCAUAGUUUCAUCUAGUACUCUAGUUUGAUCUGCGGAGAUGUAGAAUAAAGAGUAUCAUUGGUAAUAGAACAUCAAUAAUGUGCGGACGGGUAACGACGGAUGCUCAAAUACUUUCUACUCCCUCAGUCCGGGAAUAAGUGUACUUAUAUCAGUCGUCCUAAGUCAAAGUUUUAUAAUUUUGAUUAACUUAUUAGAAAAAGGUAAUAACACUAGCGAUGUCUAAACUUGCCUUCG
RNAcentral lists this long non-coding RNA (932 nucleotides) under Triticum aestivum (bread wheat). RNAcentral describes it as "long non-coding RNA (TAES_LNC014512)". The record is from RNAcentral. Lineage: Eukaryota; Viridiplantae; Streptophyta; Magnoliopsida; Poales; Poaceae.